Vidua chalybeata is the source of this 518-nucleotide long non-coding RNA. RefSeq lists it as uncharacterized. The transcript is spliced from 2 exons. Lineage: Eukaryota; Metazoa; Chordata; Aves; Passeriformes; Viduidae. The record is from RefSeq and is a predicted model, not a curated record.
CACAAACGCUGCGGCCCCGUUGGCGGUUACCCGGCAACCGCGGCACCCGAUUGUCGGGGGCUGUGACGCUGGGCGGGUCUCGGUCCCCGCUCGUUCCAGCCUUGGUGCCCCCUCGGUCCCUGGGCGGAAUCCACUCCGGGGCCCGGAACGUCACGGGCCAGACCCUCGCCCUCAGCUCCGGGCUGCUCCUUCUCAACGGGAAAAACCCCGGUCUCAACAGUUUGUGUUCAGCGCAGAGCAGAAGUGGGAAUCAGCCAGCUGCAGAUGGGGCCGCAGAUUGUGUGCUGCUCGCCAUCCUGGGAGUUCAGAAUGUCCUGCAGUAUGGCUGAGCUAUGAGACUUGUGGAGCAGAAUUAUGAAAAGGUGAAGCACAAACAUUUCUUAUGCACCUAUAUUGCAUUACCAACUCAAUUUAGACCUCUGAAGUAUUCAUUAGAGUCAAGAGCAUAUCCAACCACAAAUUUAUCUGGAAUUUCAAAGCCUGUAUCUGUAAAAAAAUACAGUUCUUUUUAUACUUCA